GUUUCCUUCGUUUAGGGGUUAGGACGUUGCUUUUUCAAAGCAAAAACAAGGGUUCAAAUCCCUUAGGAAUGA
RNAcentral lists this transfer RNA (72 nucleotides) under Genlisea aurea. It matches the Rfam family "tRNA". Rfam says of the family: Transfer RNA (tRNA) molecules are approximately 80 nucleotides in length. Their secondary structure includes four short double-helical elements and three loops (D, anti-codon, and T loops). Lineage: Eukaryota; Viridiplantae; Streptophyta; Magnoliopsida; Lamiales; Lentibulariaceae. The record is from Rfam by way of RNAcentral.